This 72-nucleotide transfer RNA is filed under the name Candidatus Colicola faecequi. RNAcentral describes it as "tRNA-Glu". It matches the Rfam family "tRNA". Rfam says of the family: Transfer RNA (tRNA) molecules are approximately 80 nucleotides in length. Their secondary structure includes four short double-helical elements and three loops (D, anti-codon, and T loops). The record is from RNAcentral. Lineage: Bacteria; Pseudomonadati; Bacteroidota; Bacteroidia; Bacteroidales; Paludibacteraceae.
GGCGCGUUCGUAUAUCGGUUAGUACUUCAGAUUUUCAUUCUGGAAAGAGGAGUUCGACUCUCCUACGCGCUA